GGGUGCGUGGCCGAGUGGUUAAGGCGCCUGCGUCAGGUGCAGGUCUGUUUCGUUAACAGGCGCGAGUUCGAGUCUCGCCACAUCCA
Molecule: transfer RNA, 86 nt
Filed under: Eremothecium cymbalariae DBVPG#7215
Lineage: Eukaryota; Fungi; Ascomycota; Saccharomycetes; Saccharomycetales; Saccharomycetaceae
Description: tRNA-Leu (CAG) (tRNA-Leu-CAG-1-1)
Rfam family: tRNA
About the family: Transfer RNA (tRNA) molecules are approximately 80 nucleotides in length. Their secondary structure includes four short double-helical elements and three loops (D, anti-codon, and T loops).
Source: RNAcentral